UCAUAUCACGUUCAAACACUGAUUCUCAUCAGAUCACCGAAGUUAAGUAACAUUGAGCCUAGUCAGUACCAAGAUGAGUAAUGCUUGGGAAUUCCAGAUGCUGUAA
Molecule: non-coding RNA, 106 nt
Organism: Acanthosepion pharaonis
Lineage: Eukaryota; Metazoa; Mollusca; Cephalopoda; Sepiida; Sepiidae
Source: the annotation of a GenBank genome assembly